RNAcentral lists this long non-coding RNA (907 nucleotides) under Sus scrofa (pig). Its description in RNAcentral is "lncRNA (ENSSSCG00070002639.1)". Lineage: Eukaryota; Metazoa; Chordata; Mammalia; Artiodactyla; Suidae. The record is from RNAcentral.
AUGAACGUUGAGUUGCCUGCAAGGCGUCUGGGGAGCCCGGAGGUGCGGCUGAGCUGUUGGCGCCCCGGGACUGAGCUUUUUUCCGGUGGGGCUGCGGUGGCAUCAGUUUCAGAGCCUCUGGCCCAGCAGCCCCGCCAGGAGGAAGCUCCCUGCAGACGUGGCCCAGCGGGCCUGCAGCAGCCACAGGCCCCAGAGGAAGUGAGCCGCUCACCCCCGCCUCUCGCCGGCCCUGGGGCCCCCGGCGACCUGGGAACCCGGAACCUGCUUUGGUUUGGAACCUCGGACCACCAUUCGAGAUCCGUGGCCUUCAUUUCCUGGUGUGGGCGAAGCAGCCAGGGCUGGCGAGGCAGGGAUGGAGCCGGAGUCCCUCUACAACCUGCUGCAGGCCCCGGGGAAGGUGGACCCACCGGCGGCAGAAACACUGGCACAAGUUGCCCCCAUAUCGCUCGUACCCCCAGUCUCUGGGUUAAGAGUGACGUGGAUGAAGAUACUCGUUGCUGUGCGUGCCUUGGUCCAGAGCCGCAGGGCUGACCUCAUGAACUGGUGUUCUCGGUUUAUACACGGUUUAAGCUGGAAAGCAUCACAAGGAAAGUGGCCAUGGGGGUGGCAGGGCUUGGGGUUGGAAAAAACAUUUCUUUUUUGUUUUAGAGCUGGUUUAGAGCUCCUUAAAAUUCUGGCGGCAGAGCCGGAACAUGGGAUGAUUCUGAGAGGCAACGCAUCGGCUCCAGGGAAGGGCCACGGCCAGUCGUGCACCCCCUGCCACCCCCGCCCCAGCAUUUGUCAAGAGCCCGCCCCCCACUCGGGUCAGAAGCCAUGGGCUGGGGGAGUGCUCCCAGCCCUCCGAGCGCUACCCUCGGAGGUGUUCAGUGUCUAGAAGUCUCCAGCCAGGCCAUGUGAACACAGAGAU